UCCUUCAGUCGGUGCACAGAUGAGUGUCU
Molecule: non-coding RNA, 29 nt
Filed under: Mus musculus (house mouse)
Lineage: Eukaryota; Metazoa; Chordata; Mammalia; Rodentia; Muridae
Source: RNAcentral